CUCAGGACGAACGCUGGCGGCGUGCUUAACACAUGCAAGUCGAACGGAAAGGCCCUGCUUUUGUGGGGUGCUCGAGUGGCGAACGGGUGAGUAACACGUGAGUACCUGCCCUUGACUUUGGGAUAACUUCAGGAAACUGGGGCUAAUACCGGAUAGGAGCUCCUGCUGCAUGGUGGGGGUUGGAAAGUUUCGGCGGUUGGGGAUGGACUCGCGGCUUAUCAGCUUGUUGGUGGGGUAGUGGCUUACCAAGGCUUUGACGGGUAGCCGGCCUGAGAGGGUGACCGGCCACAUUGGGACUGAGAUACGGCCCAGACUCCUACGGGAGGCAGCAGUGGGGAAUAUUGCACAAUGGGCGGAAGCCUGAUGCAGCAACGCCGCGUGCGGGAUGACGGCCUUCGGGUUGUAAACCGCUUUCGCCUGUGACGAAGCGUGAGUGACGGUAAUGGGUAAAGAAGCACCGGCUAACUACGUGCCAGCAGCCGCGGUGAUACGUAGGGUGCGAGCGUUGUCCGGAUUUAUUGGGCGUAAAGGGCUCGUAGGUGGUUGAUCGCGUCGGAAGUGUAAUCUUGGGGCUUAACCCUGAGCGUGCUUUCGAUACGGGUUGACUUGAGGAAGGUAGGGGAGAAUGGAAUUCCUGGUGGAGCGGUGGAAUGCGCAGAUAUCAGGAGGAACACCAGUGGCGAAGGCGGUUCUCUGGGCCUUUCCUGACGCUGAGGAGCGAAAGCGUGGGGAGCGAACAGGCUUAGAUACCCUGGUAGUCCACGCUGUAAACGGUGGGUACUAGGUGUGGGGUCCAUUCCACGGGUUCCGUGCCGUAGCUAACGCUUUAAGUACCCCGCCUGGGGAGUACGGCCGCAAGGCUAAAACUCAAAGGAAUUGACGGGGCCCCGCACAAGCGGCGGAGCAUGCGGAUUAAUUCGAUGCAACGCGUAGAACCUUACCUGGGUUUGACAUGGAUCGGGAGUGCUCAGAGAUGGGUGUGCCUCUUUUGGGGUCGGUUCACAGGUGGUGCAUGGCUGUCGUCAGCUCGUGUCGUGAGAUGUUGGGUUAAGUCCUGCAACGAGCGCAACCCUUGUUCACUGUUGCCAGCACGUUAUGGUGGGGACUCAGUGGAGACCGCCGGGGUCAACUCGGAGGAAGGUGGGGAUGACGUCAAGUCAUCAUGCCCCUUAUGUCCAGGGCUUCACGCAUGCUACAAUGGCUGGUACAGAGAGUGGCGAGCCUGUGAGGGUGAGCGAAUCUCGGAAAGCCGGUCUCAGUUCGGAUUGGGGUCUGCAACUCGACCUCAUGAAGUCGGAGUCGCUAGUAAUCGCAGAUCAGCAACGCUGCGGUGAAUACGUUCCCGGGGCUUGUACACACCGCCCGUCAAGUCAUGAAAGUUGGUAACACCCGAAGCCGGUGGCCUAACCGUUGUGGGGGAGCCGUCGAAGGUGGGACUGGUGAUUAGGACUAAGUCGUAACAAGGU
RNAcentral lists this ribosomal RNA (1466 nucleotides) under uncultured bacterium. RNAcentral's name for it is "bacterial SSU rRNA". It matches the Rfam family "Bacterial small subunit ribosomal RNA". The record is from RNAcentral.